This 425-nucleotide ribosomal RNA is filed under the name uncultured bacterium. RNAcentral's name for it is "bacterial SSU rRNA". It matches the Rfam family "Bacterial small subunit ribosomal RNA", at positions 29 to 498 of the family's 1533-position model. The record is from RNAcentral.
AACGAACGCUGGCGGCAUGCCUAACACAUGCAAGUCGAACGAGACCUUCGGGUCUAGUGGCGCACGGGUGCGUAACACGUGGGAAUUUGCCUCGGGGUAUGGAAUAACUCAGGGAAACUUGAGCUAAUACCAUAUAAUGUCUUCGGACCAAAGAUUUAUCGCCCUGAGAUAAGCCCGCGUAGGAUUAGCUAGUUGGUGGGGUAAAGGCUCACCAAGGCGACGAUCCUUAGCUGGUCUGAGAGGAUGAUCAGCCACACUGGGACUGAGACACGGCCCAGACUCCUACGGGAGGCAGCAGUGGGAAUCUUAGACAAUGGGCGCAAGCCUGAUCUAGCCAUGCCCGCGUGAGCGAUGAAGGCCUUAGGGUGUAAAGCUCUUUCAGAUGGGAAGAUAAUGACGGUACCAUCGAGAAGAAGCCCCCGGCU